GUUUUGUCUGGGGCUCGUCCUGCUACAUUUCUUGGUUCCCUGAACAGGAAGCGAGGUAACUGACGGACGGCCAAGGCAGCCCCUUGGGUGGCUUAGGCCUGCCCUGUGGAGCAUCCCUGCGGUGGACUCUGGCCAGCCUGAGUGACGCGAUCCAAAGAGCGCUCCCGGGUAGGAAAUUCCCCGGGUGGAACGCCUCGCCAGAGCAGCACGUAGCAGGCCCCCGAGGAGGAUUAACACACUGGCUGAACACUGGGAAGGAACUGGCACUUGGAGUCCGGACAUCUGAAACUUGAUUGACAGGCCUCGGAAGUCAAAAUAAGUGGUUUCCUAGACCGGGUCGAGAGCAAGUCUCUAUUGGUCCCAACUGAGUUUUUUCAGCUGGUUUUUCAACCAAACAGCACCUCAUCUCCCAGUGAGGGGAAGGGAAGGCUGGGCUGAGAGCAGCAAGGCUGCUCAUCUCACCUCUCCCCACCCAGCCAUGCCAGCCGCCUCACCUGGUGGGGAGAGGUGGGCCUCACCUGGGUCCCCUGGCAGUGCUCUGUGAAGGGUCUUGACAUUGCACUGUAAUAAUAAAGGUGUGUGUGAAGUAUC
RNAcentral lists this long non-coding RNA (591 nucleotides) under Homo sapiens (human). Its description in RNAcentral is "psoriasis susceptibility 1 candidate 3, transcript variant 9 (PSORS1C3)". Lineage: Eukaryota; Metazoa; Chordata; Mammalia; Primates; Hominidae. The record is from RNAcentral.